GAUGAACGCUGGCGGCGUGCUUAACACAUGCAAGUCGAACGGAAAGGCCUCUUCUUGCCGGGGUACUCGAGUGGCGAACGGGUGAGUAACACGUGGGUGAUCUGCCCUGCACUUCGGGAUAAGCCUAGGAAACUGGGUCUAAUACCGGAUAGGAUACUGGUUAGGAUGCCGAUGUGGAGAGCUUUGCGGUGUGGGCUGGGCUAGCGGCCUAUCACCUUGUUGGUGGGGUACUGGCUUACCAAGGGCGCGACGGGUGGUCGGCCUGGGAGGGUGUACGGCCACCAUAGGACUGAGGUACGGCGCAGAGGCGAACGUGGGGCAGCGGGGGGGAGUAUGACCCAACGGGCGCAAGCCUGUGACGAAGGCGCUGCGUUGGUAAAGACGUCUUUCGGGUAGUGAACAGCUUUCGCUAAAGACGAAGCGCAAGUGACGGUACCUGGAGAAGAAGCACCGGCUAACUACGUG
Molecule: ribosomal RNA, 465 nt
Filed under: uncultured bacterium
Lineage: Bacteria
Description: partial 16S ribosomal RNA
Rfam family: Bacterial small subunit ribosomal RNA
Source: RNAcentral